ACCUGGUUGAUUCUGCCAGUAGUCAUAUGCUUGUCUCAAAGAUUAAGCCAUGCAUGUCUUAGUGUAAAUAACUCUUAUGAAACUGCGAAUGGCUCAUUAAAUCAGUUAUCGUUUAUUUGAUGGUCUCUUACUACAUGGAUAACCGUAGUAAUUCUAGAGCUAAUACAUGCACAAAGGCCCGACUCACGGAGGGCUGUAUUUAUUAGAUUCAAAGCCGACCUUGUUUUGGUGAUUCAUAAUAACUUCUCGAAGCACAUGCCCUUGCGGUGGUGCUGAUUCAUUCAAAUUUCUGCCCUAUCA
Molecule: ribosomal RNA, 300 nt
Filed under: Chroomonas cf. mesostigmatica
Lineage: Eukaryota; Cryptophyceae; Pyrenomonadales; Chroomonadaceae
Description: partial Eukaryotic small subunit ribosomal RNA
Rfam family: Eukaryotic small subunit ribosomal RNA
Source: RNAcentral